Molecule: long non-coding RNA, 1121 nt
Filed under: Heterocephalus glaber (naked mole-rat)
Lineage: Eukaryota; Metazoa; Chordata; Mammalia; Rodentia; Bathyergidae
Description: lncRNA (ENSHGLG00100035053.1)
Source: RNAcentral
UGGAGGAUCACAAGUUUGAGGGCAGGCCUGGGCAAUUGAGCAACACUGUCUCAAAGCGUGAGCAAUGUAGGUUAGUGGUAAAGUGGUUGGUGGCACCUCAGCCUAACUAGCUGCUUUAAAACAUUUUGGUGAUUACAACUGGACUAGAUGAGAUCUUUUGGUUACAACAGGGCAUGGCCUGUCAUUCUUUUUAGUUUGAGAAUACAAAAAGCACUCUUGGUCAUUUAUGAAAACUUACCUUUUAGCUAUGAACUUGGAAGUUUAAAAGAAAAUUAACAGCUGAUAAGCUUGUAGCAGAUUCCUCCCCUAGAAAAGUAAACAAUCUUUAGAACUGGCUCUUUUCUGAGACCAAGGCCCAUCUUGAAGCUACAACCCCCCUCCCUCCCAUUAAUGGCCCACCCUCCUCCCACCAUUUUGGGGAAAGGGUUCUAAUGCAUUACUUUGAGCCACUGUUUUAAUGAAAUGGGUCAAAGGAUAAAACUAAUGGGCAAUAUUAUCUUCAGAAUAGAAUUAAUGUGCUUAUUAUCUUCAGAAUAGAAUUAAUGUGCUUAUUUACUUCAUUUGGGAGCCAACAAUAAUAGUAGGGCAUCAAUUUAAACAUUCUCCAGAAAAACCAAGUUCAGCUUAACUGGACUAAUUUUGGCUCAAUAUUAUUAAGGAAAAUGCAAUAGAAAACUGGAUUUUUAUGUUAACUAAAUGGACAUGAGUAAAAUCUGUUCUUACCUACCAGCAUAGCAAUAAAACCUUUCCUCCUGGUUCUUACUGCUAGUCCUAAGAGUCAGGUGUGCCUUACUCUUGUCUGCCUCCUUCCUUGCGAUGGUCACUGAAACUUCACUCUCCUAGCUUUCAUGGAGUGCUGUGGCCUGCCCCUGGCUUAUCUGUACUCCACAUACCAUAAGUGUCUACUCUCAGCUGCAGAGUGUCUGAGCUCGGAGCCAUUCGCGCUAUACUUGCUAGCAGUUCCUAGUAGCUGAACAUCUCCUGGAUCUUUAAAGGCAUUGUCACGAAUCCUGAGGUAUCUGCAAACUCCCUCAAUAGUUAAGGUUCCACCUGCUAUUGCAAACUCAGCCAGUAUCAAGGAUCUAACGUCCAUGCUUUCCCACCCCCCACCACCUCCCCCC